CAUACCAAGUAGCUUUAGAUGAGAUGGCAGAGAUAGGAUGCUUUCGACUGUGCAGAAACGUUGUGAACUUAUGUUCCUUCUGUCAAUCACAACCACCAAUAAUCAAACAGAUUCAUCACCAUAACUGUCAACAAAGACCCUUUGAGUCUUCAUUUCAAUGGCGAGUUUGUCCAACCAUUAAGUACCCACAUCGUUUCUCUUCAAAUACCAACAACCAAUUCAGGGUGAACUCUAUCAGAGACAGUAGUGGAGAUCAAACCACUAUGUCUGCUUCAUCUGCCUACCAAGUGCUUGAUGUAUUGCCAGAUUGCAGUUUGUCUGAUCUUAAAGCAGCUUUUCGUGCCAAAGUGAAACAAUUUCAUCCUGAUGUUAGAAAUAGUGAUGAUGAUAGCUCGGAUAUAAUGAUUCGUCGUGUCAUUCAGGCCUAUGAGGUGUUAUCCAAUUUAAGCAAAUCAGAGAUCAUUGAAAGUGAAUGUCUAGACCCCUUUGAUGCUCCUGAAUGUGAGGCACUUGACAUCUUUGUUAAUGAGGUUCUAUGUGUUGGCAAAGGGUGUCCUUAUUCAUGUGUAAAGACAGCACCUCAUGCCUUCACAUUCAGUUCUUCAACAGGAACUGCACAUGCAACAUCUCAAGGUCAUGGUGAGGAUUAUCAGGUACAGCUUGCAGUUGGGCAGUGUCCAAGAAGUUGCAUUCACUAUGUAACACCUUCUCAAAGGGUUAUUCUGGAGGAGCUACUUGGCAGCAUCUUGAAUGUGCCUUUUGAUUGCUCAGCUGAGGCGGAGUUGCUUUACGCACUCAUUGUAAAAGCCAGGUUUGAGAAUAAUCGGUACACGAAGCCGAAGAAGCAACCCAAUGUAUCAACCAAACAUGUAGAUUGGUAUUGAUGGCUAUGAAGAUUUAACUAAUGUGUGUAAAUCUGGUAAAAACAUCAAAGGAGAGAACAAACGUAUACCGGGUAGAGGAAAUCUCUCAAACUCUACUUUUGAAGGGGAUAUAUUAGAUAUGCUCAGUUUGGUUUUAACAGAAUAGAAAGGCUAUAUGCCAACAUUUGUCGUGAUCCUAUGGUACCGAUCUAAUGGCCAUCAUGGGGAAGGAAAAUCGCAGUGUCGUUGAGAUAGGCGAAUGGUAUCGAGCUUCGAACCUGAUGACUCACUUAUGGAUUUUCAUCUUGUUACUUCUGAAACAAUGAAUGGUAACUAUGAUUAUGCAUAUUUGGUUUUCUUGGUUUUGUAUCUCAAUUUUAGUUAUUUAUUACAUCUUUUGAC
Molecule: RNA transcript, 1265 nt
Organism: Cynara cardunculus var. scolymus (artichoke)
Lineage: Eukaryota; Viridiplantae; Streptophyta; Magnoliopsida; Asterales; Asteraceae
Exons: 8
Source: RefSeq, a predicted model, not a curated record